UGAGGAAUAUUGGUCAAUGGGCGAGAGCCUGAACCAGCCAAGUAGCGUGCGGGAUGAAGGCCCUUGUGGUCGUAAACCGCUUUUAUCAGUGAAUAAAGUGCAUCACGUGUGGUGUCAUUGCAGGUAGCUGAAGAAAAAGGACCGGCUAAUUCCGUGCCAGCAGCCGCGGUAAUACGGAAGGUCCGGGCGUUAUCCGGAAUUAUUGGGUUUAAAGGGAGCGCAGGCGGGAGUAUAAGUCAGCUGUUAAAUAUCAGGGCCCAACUCUGUUAUGCAGUUGAAACUAUAUUUCUUGAGUACGCACAGGGAUGGCGGAAUUCAGGGUGUAGCGGUGAAAUGCUUAGAUAUCCUGAAGAACUCCGAUCGCGAAGGCAGCCAUCCGGAGCGUAACUGACGCUGAGGCUCGAAGGUGCGGGUAUCGAACAGGAUUAGAUACCCUGGUAGUCCGCACGGUAAACGAUGAAUACUCGCAGUUCGGCCCUUUAGGUCGAGUUGUCCAGCGAAAGCGUUAAGUAUUCCACCUGGGGAGUACGCCGGCAACGGUG
RNAcentral lists this ribosomal RNA (542 nucleotides) under uncultured bacterium. RNAcentral describes it as "bacterial SSU rRNA". It matches the Rfam family "Bacterial small subunit ribosomal RNA", at positions 355 to 896 of the family's 1533-position model. The record is from RNAcentral.